GGAUCUGUGGCUCAGUGAGUAGAGCGCCGGCUUCACAUGCUGAAGGUGGCAGGUUCAAACCCAGCCCGGGCCA
Molecule: transfer RNA, 73 nt
Filed under: Otolemur garnettii (small-eared galago)
Lineage: Eukaryota; Metazoa; Chordata; Mammalia; Primates; Galagidae
Rfam family: tRNA
About the family: Transfer RNA (tRNA) molecules are approximately 80 nucleotides in length. Their secondary structure includes four short double-helical elements and three loops (D, anti-codon, and T loops).
Source: Rfam by way of RNAcentral